Molecule: ribosomal RNA, 253 nt
Filed under: uncultured bacterium
Lineage: Bacteria
Description: partial 16S ribosomal RNA
Rfam family: Bacterial small subunit ribosomal RNA
Source: RNAcentral
CACGUAGGGCGCAAGCGUUGUCCGGAAUUAUUGGGCGUAAAGAGCUCGUAGGCGGUCUGUUACGUCUGCUGUGAAAACCCGGGGCUUAACCCUGGGCUUGCAGUGGAUACGGGCAGACUAGAGGCAGGUAGGGGAGAAUGGAAUUCCCGGUGUAGCGGUGAAAUGCGCAGAUAUCAGGAGGAACACCGGUGGCGAAGGCGGUUCUCUGGACAGUUCCUGACGCUGAGGCACGAAGGCCAGGGGAGCAAACGGG